UUAUUGCUCAAAAAGACUGAAAGGAGUCCUGUUGAGGAUUUAGGUUCCUCCUCUUUUGAAAAGUGCAACCGAUUGAAGUUUUAAAGGGCUCUGGGGUGUUUUGCCAGGCAGAAGUGUGGAAAGCAGCCCUCCUUGCCACCUCUGCUACUGCCAUGGUGUGGAAUCUGCUGCUGGGCACAUUUGAUCUGGAGACUUUGCUGAAAAACAACCUGAAUGGUGGGAAGCCAACCAGAGGGGAUGGGGAGCAGCUGGUCGCCCUUGACCAAAUUAAAAAGGCAUCAUUAUUGAUGCUACAUUGAAGAAGUGUCCGUCAGCCAGCCGAGGGGAGAUGGGCACGUCUAUCAAUUCAAAGCUCAUGGAGCUGAGAAGAUCAAAAAGAUUUUUUUUCUAUCCAGUUUUUUUGUCUUAUUUUUGUUUUUGUACUAUUUGAUCUUAAGUAAAUAAAUAAU
Molecule: non-coding RNA, 449 nt
Organism: Pimephales promelas (fathead minnow)
Lineage: Eukaryota; Metazoa; Chordata; Actinopteri; Cypriniformes; Leuciscidae
Source: RefSeq, a predicted model, not a curated record